Non-coding RNA from Sesamum indicum (sesame), 1100 nucleotides. NCBI's taxonomy places the organism in Eukaryota, Viridiplantae, Streptophyta, Magnoliopsida, Lamiales, Pedaliaceae. The record is from RefSeq and is a predicted model, not a curated record.
ACCCUGAAUCUUUAUACUCUUGUUCAUCUACAGUUGAAACAAAAGUGAGAAGCAUAUGGGGUUAUCUAAAUUUUCCUUUUGUUGACCUGUCUCAUUUGAGAGCUACAACUUAUUGUUUGAGGAGGAUGUGUUGUUGGUCCAAUAGAAUAUUACCUGAAACAAGAGGGGCAUUGGGUUCUGAAUUAUUAUUGGUCAUGUUCAGGACUUGACAAUGAAGCCUUGCCGUACUAGCUUACUGCAACAGUUGGCCUUUUUGCAACUUAGCAUCCAACAAUCUGCCCUUGAGUACCACCUCCACCCACCCCCAACAGUUUCCCUUUUUGCCAUUUGAUUGCAUCCAGGGGGGGCAUUUCUCUGGCAUUUAUAGCAAGGUUCGACUUAAGCCAUUAAAGUGGGUCAAAGUUGCAAAAGAUAAUUGUGAAGGAGAAGAAGAAAGAGCUGUGGAGGCACUGAUGAUUCUUAAAUAUGGUGGUGUUCUUACUCAUGCUGGCAGAAAGCAGGCUGAAGAACUGGGGAGGUAUUUUCGGAACAAUAUGUAUCCAGGUCCAGGUGAAGGUACUGGCCACAGCACCUAUCGUCAUGACUUAAAAAUAUACAGCUCGCGUACAGGUUAAAAAUAUACAGGUCAUGCCAAAUUUCACUUCAUUUUCUGCUUUGCCUUGAGUUUUUAUAUUUGGAUCCAUUAUCACAUUAUAAGCACUAGAAUCAAGUAGACAAGAUAGGUAUUAAAGUUUAGGCAUAUACGUGUUGGCAUUUGAUGAAUUAUGUUUAGAUGAUACACCUCACUCUUCCACUAUAAACCAACAAGAUUCUGUGUGUGUGCACUUUCAUCAAAAUUCAUUAUAAAGCUCCAUAUCUAUGCAAUCCCACCUGCCCCCAAUCUUACAAAUCUAAUUUAUGUGUAUACAUCACGUUUAUUAUGUUUCUAUUUUAUCAAUAUAUACCAACACACGGCCGAAAUAACACUUUAUUUAACAGUUUGAAUUUUAUUGAUUAUUUGGAUAAAAUAACACUAUAACGCUUGCAGCAUGUCACAAAAGGCAUAAUUUGAAUUUGGAUAAAUUACAACGACUUUCCCUGAUAUUUCAUAUAAUUACGAA